RNAcentral lists this small nucleolar RNA (123 nucleotides) under Myotis davidii. RNAcentral's name for it is "Small nucleolar RNA SNORA5". It matches the Rfam family "Small nucleolar RNA SNORA5". From Rfam's summary of the family: ACA5 is a member of the H/ACA class of snoRNA that guide the sites of modification of uridines to pseudouridines. Lineage: Eukaryota; Metazoa; Chordata; Mammalia; Chiroptera; Vespertilionidae. The record is from Rfam by way of RNAcentral.
UGCAGCUUAUGUCUGCUCACUGCUGGUAAGUGGACAUACCCUGAGGGCUGCCAGAGGAUGUCUGACUGCCAGCUUGGGCCUGAUCCCCCCAGGGAGUGGGCCUAAGCCAGCAGGUGGACAUCC